This 138-nucleotide ribosomal RNA is filed under the name uncultured eukaryote. RNAcentral's name for it is "partial 18S ribosomal RNA". It matches the Rfam family "Eukaryotic small subunit ribosomal RNA", at positions 1299 to 1458 of the family's 1831-position model. The record is from RNAcentral.
UGGUGGAGUGAUUUGUCUGGUUAAUUCCGAUAACGAACGAGACCUUAACCUGCUAAAUAGCCAGGCCGGCUCCGGCUGGUCGCAGGCUUCUUAGAGGGACUGUCAGCGUCUAGCUGACGGAGGUUUGAGGCAAUAACA